Molecule: non-coding RNA, 21 nt
Filed under: Caenorhabditis elegans
Lineage: Eukaryota; Metazoa; Nematoda; Chromadorea; Rhabditida; Rhabditidae
Source: RNAcentral
UAAUCAACAAAAAAAAUCAAC